CAAGACAAGAAGCAAUGUGAUACAGGUUAUACAUGUACAAUCAUUUUAAAUAUAUUUCCAUAUUUGUCAUGUUGCAAAAGAAAAAUCAGAACAAAAGGGAAAAACUACAAUAAGUGAAAAUAAUAUGCUUCAAUCUGCAGUCAGUCUCCAUAGUUGUCUUUGACAGGAUUUUUAGUUAGGAUCAAAUGAGAUAAUUUUUUGAAAGCACAAUGCCUGGAACAUAAUAGGUGCUUAUUCGCUUCCAUCCUUCUUUGCCCCAUUCUGUUUACACCACUCCUAUAUUAUUGAAUGGAGUUUUUAGAAUAAUAAGGAUAUUGAAAAGCUGAAGACUAUCUGGAGAAGGGAAAUUGAAAGAGUAAAAGCGGUCCAGGAGGACAUUCCAUUUAAAGAUAAGAAGAAAGUACCUGGGGCAUUGAGACUGGAGUGGAGACACCAGAAGAAAACGUGAUAACUAUUUUUAUGUGGUUGAAAGGUUGCCAUGUCGAAGAGUAUUUGUUCCCAGUGGGCAAAACUAGGAACAAUAAGACUGGGGCUUGCAAGGAGCCAAAGGUUAUAAAGUCAAGAAAAACUCCUUAAUAAUUUAUUCCUUUUCAAUAGGUGGAUGGUCUGCCUCAGGAUGAAGUUUUCGCCUCACUAGAAAACUUUGAGCCAAGGUGAGAUAACCCCUUGUUGGCUGUAUUGUAGAAAGAUUGAUUUUUCAGUUACUGGUUAGGAUAGAGGAUCACUGAGGUCUCAUUGAAUUCUAACAUUCUAUGAUUCUGUUAUAUUGGUAUCCUAGGUAACCAGCCUUCUGAAACAACAGGAUGGGGCUCUUGAGGUUUUUCCACUCUCAUUUGAACCUGAGACCUGCUCUCUUGUUUUAACCCUAUAUAACAUAUCAGAGGCUUCCCGAAGCUUCUGACUCUUUUUUCUCCCAAUCCCUUAAACUUGGUUUCUAUUACUCCUCUUUGUCUUGAAGAUAUAUACAAUGAAAGAUGGAGGCUGAGCUUUUCCGUCACUAGGCUGCUCACCAGUUCACAAUUGAGGUUCAUCUGUAUUGAGAUAGGAGCUGUCCUGACGCUCAAAAGUAUCAACCAUGAAUGGCUAUUGCUGAAUUUUCCCUACCCAGCUUAAAUAGAAACCCAUCAAGCAACACCACCUGAACAGCUGUCCAUCAGGAAAAGAGAAAUUUCUGAAUUUUGGAGGACAUUAAGAGGAAUUUGUCUUGGGAGGUAUGUCUACCCACAGCUCAGGCUUAGGUAAGGAGACCCAGAUCCAUAACGCUGUCAUCUCUAAUUCCUUGAAAGCAAAGUUUGUGACCAUUUUUGUGUCCUAGACACCCUAGGUAGUCUGGGGAAGCCUAUGGACCCCUUUUCAGAAGAAUGUUUUAAGUUCAUAAGACAAAAAUACAUAAUAUUACAUAGGAAACCAAGUAUAUUGAAAUAUAGUUAUCAAAAUACUUUAAUUUUUUAAAUCCACAGAAAUACCAUCAUGUUCCUCAUGAGGAUAUGUUUAUUGUGGGCAAUGGUCCAUAUUUAGAAGU
RNAcentral lists this long non-coding RNA (1522 nucleotides) under Sarcophilus harrisii (Tasmanian devil). RNAcentral's name for it is "lncRNA (ENSSHAG00000025524.1)". The record is from RNAcentral. Lineage: Eukaryota; Metazoa; Chordata; Mammalia; Dasyuromorphia; Dasyuridae.